RNAcentral lists this transfer RNA (73 nucleotides) under Pseudomonadota bacterium. Its description in RNAcentral is "tRNA-Ala". It matches the Rfam family "tRNA". Rfam says of the family: Transfer RNA (tRNA) molecules are approximately 80 nucleotides in length. Their secondary structure includes four short double-helical elements and three loops (D, anti-codon, and T loops). RNAcentral also lists the same sequence under 2 other names. The record is from RNAcentral. Lineage: Bacteria; Pseudomonadati; Pseudomonadota.
GGGGAUGUAGCUCAGCUGGGAGAGCGCGGCGUUCGCAUCGCCGAAGUCAGGGGUUCGAGUCCCCUCAUCUCCA